GGAAUAUUGGACAAUGGGGGAAACCCUUAUCCAGCGACGCCGCGUGAGGGAAGAAGGUUUUCGGAUUGUAAACCUCUGUCAGUGGGGACGAUAAUGACGGUACCCACGGAGGAAGCCACGGCUAACUACGUGCCAGCAGCCGCGGUAAUACGUAGGUGGCAAGCGUUAUCCGGAUUUACUGGGUGUAAAGGGAGCGUAGACGGCAGCACAAGUCUGGAGUGAAAUGCCGGGGCUUAACCCCGGAACUGCUUUGGAAACUGUGCAGCUAGAGUGCAGGAGAGGUAAGUGGAAUUCCUAGUGUAGCGGUGAAAUGCGUAGAUAUUAGGAGGAACACCAGUGGCGAAGGCGGCUUACUGGACUGUAACUGACGUUGAGGCUCGAAAGCGUGGGGAGCAAACAG
This 400-nucleotide ribosomal RNA is filed under the name uncultured bacterium. RNAcentral's name for it is "bacterial SSU rRNA". It matches the Rfam family "Bacterial small subunit ribosomal RNA", at positions 358 to 775 of the family's 1533-position model. The record is from RNAcentral.